UACGUUUUAGUAUAUGAUGUACGAAAGUUUUUGAUACUUUUAGAGAUAGUUUAAUUCUAUUAAAUGUAA
Molecule: transfer RNA, 69 nt
Filed under: Protohermes spectabilis
Lineage: Eukaryota; Metazoa; Arthropoda; Insecta; Megaloptera; Corydalidae
Description: tRNA-Gln
Source: RNAcentral